CACGUAGGGGGCAAGCGUUGUCCGGAUUUAUUGGGCGUAAAGAGCUCGUAGGCGGCUCGGUAAGUCGGGUGUGAAACCUCCAGGCUCAACCUGGAGACGCCACUCGAUACUGCCGUGGCUAGAGUCCGGUAGAGGAGCGUAGAAUUCCUGGUGUAGCGGUGAAAUGCGCAGAUAUCAGGAGGAACACCGGUGGCGAAGGCGGGUCUCUGGGCCGAUACUGACGCUGAGGAGCGAAAGCGUGGGGAGCGAACAGG
Molecule: ribosomal RNA, 254 nt
Filed under: uncultured bacterium
Lineage: Bacteria
Description: partial 16S ribosomal RNA
Rfam family: Bacterial small subunit ribosomal RNA
Source: RNAcentral